This 1389-nucleotide long non-coding RNA is filed under the name Capra hircus (goat). RNAcentral's name for it is "lncRNA (ENSCHIG00000001882.1)". The record is from RNAcentral. Lineage: Eukaryota; Metazoa; Chordata; Mammalia; Artiodactyla; Bovidae.
AGAUACCCGCUCUGGACCUCAGUUUUGUCACCUGUUGAAUAGGAAGCUGUUGGCACGCUUAUGAAAUCCACUGGGUCCCCACCUUGGGAGGACCUCUGGGAGGUCUUUCCUCAGUUGCCCCGGAUGCUCCUACACACGGGGCACUUUCUCUUUCCCCAAGUCUUGCUGGGGCCUCUGCCCUGGGCCUCUCCAAACCCCCAGGAUAGCGGUGCAGCCGCCCACUCGCCUUUACCUGCAGGGAGAUCCAGCCGGGCAACGGCUCCUCUGAUCUGGCGAACAGCACCAACCGCGGCCCGCGCGCGUCUGCCAGUCCGCUGUUGUGACUGGUUGCUAGGCGACAGUGAGCCGCGCCUGCGCAGUUAGCGCCCGCGUGCGCCUGGGCACUGGAAACGCCAGCUUGGCUGCCCCAUAUCCCAGCCGCGGUUAGAGAUGUCCAAGCUCUCACCUCCCUGGACCUGCUCUGAAGUUAAUACGUACGGGAAUCCAUGCAGGUUGAAGCAGUUCUCAACUGGAAGAGGUCUGUACAUCUACAGAGUUGGGAUGUACUGGGAUCAGCAUCUGGGAAGUGGCACACUUAUCACUCCAGAUCUAGAUUCUCUGUGGAAGGAACUGAUAUUGUGCUCCAGAGUGAUUUUCUCUGCUUCUCUCUACCUUUAUCUUGCAGUCUCUGCUUCCUACCAGGGCCUUCCAGGGUAGAGAGGGCUGCACGAGAGCUGGAGCUCAGCCAUAGCGGUGAUGGGCAGUCACGGAGGCGGCGUUUUCCAGGGCGGUGCCCAUUCCUAUCAGAGCCCAGGACUCCUCAGCUCCAGUUCUGGAAGAUCCUGAGCAGGCCCACCUGUGAACGACUGCGCAGAGGAAGAAACUAACAGAUCCCCUUCAGCGCGUGGCUGAACCAGGACUUUAUCCCUCCUCUUCUAGUGUAAAAGAAGCCUGAAUUCUAACUUGGGCAAGAUGCUCCUUUAGAACAUGAGUUUGCCAUUUUCUGUCUGCUGACUUUCCGAAUAAAAUCGCUGUUCCUUGCCCAACACCUCGUAUCCUGAUAGACUGACGCGUCCUGCGGUGAGUGGGAUGAGCUUGAACUUAGUAACACAUUUUGGUAAAACCAGCCAGGAGUCUUUCUGCUUGUGACCAGCUGGCCUGGCAAUGAGGAAUUCUCAAGUAAGGCCAUAGCAGCUGCUGGUACCACUUAUCCUAAGUAUCUUCCCUUCAGAAUUACCCAAAGCGACCCUGGCUGCCCCAGCACUUGGCAACUGGAGCAAGGAAUUGACAUCUGGGAGCUGCGGGGCUCCAUACAGUAGGGUACGUGCUCUGGUAUGUAUAGACAGAACUUUAAUUUCCUUCUUUUGGGGUGUUUUCCCCUCCGGAAUAAGCUGAUUUGUUUUAUAUCAG